CUCUAUCCUUUCAUUCUAAGCUUCAGUGCUCCAAGACGCUUUAUCUUACUGACUGGUGUGCCUCCCAAAUCCUUCUAGCUGGUCCUGAAGCUAUGCCCUGUGCCAUAAUAUUUUAUCCUGUGAUAAAGUGAAACCUCUGAUCAUUGCGUGGCAGAAGAUGGACAGUCAGAAUGGAGCUCUAUAAAACCUUAACAAGAGCAUUUUUCCAACAAACAUUUGGAAAUUGGAAUUAGAGAAAUAAUACUAUAAGCAAUAGCAUCAAAACAUGAAUUACUUAGGGAUAAAUUAAAAAGGGGUGUAUACAAAAUCUACAAAGUAUUGCUGAGAAAAAUUUUAAAAGAACUAAAGACAUAAAAAAAAAAACCAUAAUCACGUCUGAAUUGGGACUGAGCAUGCUGUUUGUUUAAUGAAGAAAACUCUUUUAGGAAGAAUUAAAAAGAAAUACCACAAUACCUGCACCUACAGGAAAUAAGCCCAGAAAUCUUCCCAACCUCCUACUUGAUCUUCCAUAUUUAGAGUGCAUCAAAAGAAGAGAAAGAUUUGGGAGCAGGGCAGAAAAAUAGGAGAAGGAGAAAGACAAGCUAUAAGGAAUGAAAAAAUGUCACUUGGCAUAAUCAUAUCAAAAGCUGGAGCUCCAAAUCCCAAAUGCUCCAGGAAAAAGCAGAUGUCCCAGCAGACCUCGCCAAUCAAUGCAUUCCUGCUGUGGCCACAAAGUCUGAUUCAGGGAUAAACACGUGUUCCAAGAAGGCAAAAAGACCAGUUCAGGAACUUCUGUUAGAUUGCUUGGGAAGAAAAACAAGAUUUCUGCUGGAUUUUAAGAUUAACAAGAGAAUGUGAGCCAGGAGCUAAUGGGCCUAUAGAGUAGAAAAAGCCCGCCUAAUCAUGAAGCCAAUAAAGAGGAAAACAGAAUUACCUGAUGGAAGCCCUUUUUCUCUGCCAUUUGCUGUGUGCAGCACAGAUGACCUG
This is a long non-coding RNA of Mustela erminea (ermine), 966 nucleotides long. RefSeq lists it as uncharacterized. The record is from RefSeq and is a predicted model, not a curated record. Lineage: Eukaryota; Metazoa; Chordata; Mammalia; Carnivora; Mustelidae. The transcript has 6 exons.